GCCGGGCGCAGUGGUGCGUGCCCGGGACUAGUAGUCCCAGCUAGUUGGGAGUCUGAGGUGGGAGGAUCUCUUGAGUCCAGGAGUUCUGGGCAGUAUUGUGCUAUGCCGAUUGGGUGUCCGCAUUAAGUUUGGCAUCAAUAUGGUGACCUCCCGGGACCGGGGACCACCAGGUUGCCUAAGGAGGGGUGAACUGGCCCAGGUCGGAAACGGAGCAGGUCAAAACUCACGUGCUGAUCAGUAGUGGGGUCACACCCGUGAAUAGCCACUGCAUUCCAGCCUGGGCAAUAUAGCAAGACCCCAUCUCU
Molecule: signal recognition particle RNA, 305 nt
Filed under: Saimiri boliviensis boliviensis (Bolivian squirrel monkey)
Lineage: Eukaryota; Metazoa; Chordata; Mammalia; Primates; Cebidae
Description: Metazoan signal recognition particle RNA (ENSSBOG00000007412.1)
Rfam family: Metazoan signal recognition particle RNA
About the family: The signal recognition particle (SRP) is a universally conserved ribonucleoprotein.
Source: RNAcentral